GCACUGGAUCGUUUAAGAUAUCCGAAGUUAAGCAAUGUUGAACCUGGUCAGUACUUAGAUGGGUGACUGUUCGGGAAUACUAGGUGCUGUAAG
This is a non-coding RNA of Acanthosepion pharaonis, 93 nucleotides long. The record is from the annotation of a GenBank genome assembly. Lineage: Eukaryota; Metazoa; Mollusca; Cephalopoda; Sepiida; Sepiidae.